RNAcentral lists this unclassified non-coding RNA (1384 nucleotides) under Zea mays. RNAcentral's name for it is "misc RNA Zm00001eb103970". The record is from RNAcentral. Lineage: Eukaryota; Viridiplantae; Streptophyta; Magnoliopsida; Poales; Poaceae.
UGUGUAAAACGCCAAGCUCUAGCUAGGCAGAAUGGUCUUCAUUUCCAAAGAUGAGCACCACACACUUACAAAAACAACUAAACCCGUAUGAUCAUCACAUUAUACACGCGUGAGCUGUAUAUACAAACUAAAGAAAACACCAGGCAUCGGCAGGCACACAGAGACGAACGAACGCGCGCGCAUGCAGAUGCAGCUCGCUAUCCUAGGGAAGCUGUAGCUGAGUGGGAGGAACUAUGGGGCGACGCCUCCACAGGUUCACCUCCUUCCUCGGCUCCGAGGCUACCACCCCGCCCCCGAGCACCAGCGGCGCCGAAUGCGCUACGAACCCGUCGUCGUCCUCAUCGCUGUCACGGCCCGUCGUCCUCUCCUCCUCCCGCCAGUCGAAGUCCUGAAACGCGGCGCGCCCGCUGGUGAACCGCUUCAUCUGGCCGAGGCCCAUCGGCGGCGGCGGCGGCGCUGGAUCCGCCACCGCGCUGUCGCCGUCGCUCUCUUUCCCGUCACCGACGACGAUGAGCCCAUCUUUGGACGACGCCGCCCUUGAGCGAGGACGCGACCUGCUGCGGCGGAAGAAGGGCAUCCGCUUCACGAGGGAGCCCCUGCUGCUGCUGGUCCUGCUGCAGGGCUUCUUGUCCUCCGCUGGCGGCCUCGGCGGGAGCGGGCAGGCGCCGCCGCCCUUGCCGCACGACGGGUUGACCUUCUUCUGGCGCCUGGAGUUGCUGCGCUUGAUCUGGCCGAUGCAGGACACCUUGGGCGACGACGGCUCGGGCGUCACGUACCCCGGGCGCUUCCUCCUGCCGCCGCCGCCGCGAGCCUCCGGCGGGACGAUGGAGACGACGAUGGGGCCCGAGAAGGCGUUGCGGUGGUUGAAGGAGGACCUCCUGCCGCUGGGCGGGAAGGCGGAGGAGAAGGAGGAGACGGUGGACCUGAGGAAGGAGGCCAGCCCGCCGCCGGUGAAGCUCCUUGACCUCGCGUGUGCGUGCUUCUUCUGCUUCUUCUCCAUGGAAACUAACUUCUCGUUCCCUCGCGCUGUUUCCUGUAUGUAUCCAGCAAGAUUUAUUAUUGGGCUCGGUCUCUGUCGAUGCCCUUUGCGUCUGGAUCAGUCUCUCCUCCUCCGCUCCGCUGGUUGCUUGCUUCUCCUUGUCAAUCUCGAGAGGGGCUGUAUAUAUACGACUUUCCCCGAAGGUUUGGUGCCGGAUGGGGCUCGGGGAGCUGCUUGUGCUUGCCUCGGAGUAAUCACGUGUGUGGCUGGCGCCUGGCGCGGUCAAACGGAGAAGGAGUUAGCGUUGGAUCGCGCAAGAGCUGACGGCGGUGGGUGGUUAAUCCCGCGGCGGUGGGUGGGUUCGUGCGACCUGGUUGCCGCGACCGAAAUUCCGCGGGCGGCAGG